This 433-nucleotide long non-coding RNA is filed under the name Mytilus galloprovincialis (Mediterranean mussel). The record is from RNAcentral. Lineage: Eukaryota; Metazoa; Mollusca; Bivalvia; Mytilida; Mytilidae.
CUGCACACUGCAUCAUUUUAAACGUUUGUUUUUAUUUUUACGACACAAAGUUAAGAUACUUAAGAGGGGAAGGUUUUGCACACGUUAAAAUGUUUUAUCCCCACCCAACUUUUGUCAGUACAAACUUAAGCUACAAAGACCAUAUUAGUUGUUAAUAGAACUAGUUUGUCUGUUGGUUCGUUAUAUUUGAAAUAUGUGGCAUAAGUAAAUCAUCUAGUAUGUUAUACUGUCCAGUACUUUUGGUGAUUCCUUUUAUUCUUUACAUUCAACAUGUUCAAUAGAAUAUGUGGACAGGCAGACCAUAGAGGAAAAAACUAAUCUUGUCCAAAUCAAAUAAUUUUUGGCAGAGUAUUAAAAGAUUGUUUUCUUCUUUUUUUUAUGAAGAAAGAUAAUUUCAAAAACUAUUAUAACAUAAACAAAAAAGAUUUAGGGG